AGAGUUUGAUCCUGGCUCAGGACAAACGCUGGCGGCGUGCGUAACACAUGCAAGUCGUGCGGGCUGGCCUCGGGUCAGUCAGCGGCGGACGGGUGAGUAACACGUGAAUCACCAACCUCCAGUGGGGGAUACCCGGCGGAAACGCUGGUUAAUCCCGCAUACGGUUCAUUACGAACGAAAGCAGCAAUGCGCUGGUGGAC
RNAcentral lists this ribosomal RNA (200 nucleotides) under uncultured bacterium. RNAcentral describes it as "partial 16S ribosomal RNA". It matches the Rfam family "Bacterial small subunit ribosomal RNA", at positions 8 to 226 of the family's 1533-position model. The record is from RNAcentral.